RNAcentral lists this ribosomal RNA (360 nucleotides) under Wolbachia endosymbiont of Drosophila santomea. Its description in RNAcentral is "bacterial SSU rRNA". It matches the Rfam family "Bacterial small subunit ribosomal RNA", at positions 1 to 370 of the family's 1533-position model. The record is from RNAcentral. Lineage: Bacteria; Pseudomonadati; Pseudomonadota; Alphaproteobacteria; Rickettsiales; Anaplasmataceae.
UAAAUUUGAGAGUUUGAUCCUAGCUCAGAAUGAACGCUGGCGGCAGGCCUAACACAUGCAAGUCGAACGGAGUUAUAUUGUAGCUUGCUAUGGUAUAACUUAGUGGCAGACGGGUGAGUAAUGUAUAGGAAUCUACCUAGUAGUACGGAAUAAUUGUUGGAAACGGCAACUAAUACCGUAUACGCCCUACGGGGGAAAAAUUUAUUGCUAUUAGAUGAGCCUAUAUUAGAUUAGCUAGUUGGUGGAGUAAUAGCCUACCAAGGCAAUGAUCUAUAGCUGAUCUGAGAGGAUGAUCAGCCACACUGGAACUGAGAUACGGUCCAGACUCCUACGGGAGGCAGCAGUGGGGAAUAUUGGACA